This 78-nucleotide microRNA precursor is filed under the name Schistosoma haematobium. RNAcentral describes it as "mir-3492 microRNA precursor family". It matches the Rfam family "mir-3492 microRNA precursor family". The record is from Rfam by way of RNAcentral. Lineage: Eukaryota; Metazoa; Platyhelminthes; Trematoda; Strigeidida; Schistosomatidae.
AGCCUUCUGAAUCUGUGCCGAGAUUUUGUCAGGCACUGAACCAUCAGGACUGAUGAGGCUCUCCAGAUAAUUAAAACA